RNAcentral lists this ribosomal RNA (253 nucleotides) under uncultured bacterium. Its description in RNAcentral is "partial 16S ribosomal RNA". It matches the Rfam family "Bacterial small subunit ribosomal RNA", at positions 524 to 776 of the family's 1533-position model. The record is from RNAcentral.
GACGUAGGGCGCGAGCGUUGUCCGGAUUUAUUGGGCGUAAAGAGCUCGUAGGCGGCUUGUUGCGUCAGCUGUGAAAACCCGCAGCUCAACUGUGGGCUUGCAGCUGAUACGGGCAGGCUUGAGUUCGGUAGGGGAGACUGGAAUUCAUGGUGUAGCAGUGAAAUGCGUAGAGAUCAUGAGGAAGACCAGUGGCGAAGGCGGGUCUCUGGACAGUUCCUGACACUGAGACACGAAGGCCAGGGGAGCAAACGGG